AUUUAUGACUCGUGACUUUCAUGUCUUGACUGCUUACUAUAUGUGGCAGACCGACUGAGUACUUCCGCCAAUCACGCUUCCUACUAAUCCCCGAGUACUAUAAGCACUGCACCGGACACCACAAGCACUGUAGCCCCUUAGCCGCCGCAGCUUGGCUGGGGUCUCGCCUUCUCUGCCCACCCUGGACCCAAGUCCUGGAUCCAACUUCCAGUGGGUAGACCUCUCCUCCUGAGAGUAUAGCAAUCAAUACUGCAGUAUAGCUGUCCCCCCCCCACACAUGAGCGGAGGCUUAAUGCUGGGAGUUAGACCGUUUAAUGCAGGCUAACACUCACAAUUUAUACACACAUUUUAACCCCAGACAGCCUCAUUUA
Molecule: non-coding RNA, 371 nt
Organism: Pelobates cultripes (western spadefoot toad)
Lineage: Eukaryota; Metazoa; Chordata; Amphibia; Anura; Pelobatidae
Source: the annotation of a GenBank genome assembly